GAUCCUGGCUCAGAUUGAACGCUGGCGGCAGGCCUAACACAUGCAAGUCGAACGGUAACAGGAAGAAGCUUGCUUCUUUGCUGACGAGUGGCGGACGGGUGGGUAAUGUCUGGGAAACUGCCUGAUGGAGGGGGGAUAACUACUGGAAACGGUAGCUAAUACCGCAUAACGUCGCAAGACCAAAGAGGGGGGACCUUCGGGCCUCUUGCCAUCGGAUGUGCCCAGAUGGGAUUAGCUUGUUGGUGGGGUAACGG
Molecule: ribosomal RNA, 254 nt
Filed under: uncultured bacterium
Lineage: Bacteria
Description: partial 16S ribosomal RNA
Rfam family: Bacterial small subunit ribosomal RNA
Source: RNAcentral